CCUACGGGUGGCUGCAGUGGGGAAUAUUGGACAAUGGGGGCAACCCUGAUCCAGCCAUGCCGCGUGUGUGAAGAAGGCCCUCGGGUUGUAAAGCACUUUCAGUGAGGAAGAACGCCUGGUGGUUAAUACCCAUCAGGAAAGACAUCACUCACAGAAGAAGCACCGGCUAACUCCGUGCCAGCAGCCGCGGUAAUACGGAGGGUGCGAGCGUUAAUCGGAAUUACUGGGCGUAAAGCGCGCGUAGGUGGCUUGAUAAGCCGGUUGUGAAAGCCCCGGGCUCAACCUGGGAACGGCAUCCGGAACUGUCAAGCUAGAGUGCAGGAGAGGAAGGUAGAAGUCCCGGUGUAGCGGUGAAAUGCGUAGAGAUCGGGAGGAAUACCAGUGGCGAAGGCGGCCUUCUGGACUGACACUGACACUGAGGUGCGAAAGCGUGGGUAGCAAACAGGAUUAGAUACCCUAGUAGUC
RNAcentral lists this ribosomal RNA (465 nucleotides) under Vreelandella stevensii. RNAcentral's name for it is "partial 16S ribosomal RNA". It matches the Rfam family "Bacterial small subunit ribosomal RNA", at positions 338 to 795 of the family's 1533-position model. The record is from RNAcentral. Lineage: Bacteria; Pseudomonadati; Pseudomonadota; Gammaproteobacteria; Oceanospirillales; Halomonadaceae.